RNAcentral lists this transfer RNA (90 nucleotides) under Micromonospora ureilytica. RNAcentral describes it as "tRNA-OTHER". The record is from RNAcentral. Lineage: Bacteria; Bacillati; Actinomycetota; Actinomycetes; Micromonosporales; Micromonosporaceae.
AGCUCAGAGGUGCUGACCGAGGCAAGAUCACGGACGCCCUGUAAAUCCGUCGCGAAAGCUUCAGAGGUUCGAAUCCUCUACCCGCCACCA